AGAUUAAGUUAUUAAGGGCGCACGGUGGAUGCCUUGGCACUAGAAGCCGAUGAAGGACGUUACUAACGACGAUAUGCUUUGGGGAGCUGUAAGUAAGCUUUGAUCCAGAGAUUUCCGAAUGGGGAAACCCAGCAUGAGUUAUGUCAUGUUAUCGAUAUGUGAAUACAUAGCAUAUCAGAAGGCACACCCGGAGAACUGAAACAUCUUAGUACCCGGAGGAAGAGAAAGAAAAUUCGAUUCCCUUAGUAGCGGCGAGCGAAACGGGAAGAGCCCAAACCAACAAGCUUGCUUGUUGGGGUUGUAGGACACUCUAUACGGAGUUACAAAGGACGACAUUAGACGAAUCAUCUGGAAAGAUGAAUCAAAGAAGGUAAUAAUCCUGUAGUCGAAAAUGUUGUCUCUCUUGAGUGGAUCCUGAGUACGACGGAGCACGUGAAAUUCCGUCGGAAUCUGGGAGGACCAUCUCCUAAGGCUAAAUACUCUCUAGUGACCGAUAGUGAACCAGUACCGUGAGGGAAAGGUGAAAAGCACCCCGGAAGGGGAGUGAAAUAGAACCUGAAACCGUGUGCUUACAAGUAGUCAGAGCCCGUUAAUGGGUGAUGGCGUGCCUUUUGUAGAAUGAACCGGCGAGUUACGAUUUGAUGCAAGGUUAAGCAGUAAAUGUGGAGCCGUAGCGAAAGCGAGUCUGAAUAGGGCGUUUAGUAUUUGGUCGUAGACCCGAAACCAGGUGAUCUACCCUUGGUCAGGUUGAAGUUCAGGUAACACUGAAUGGAGGACCGAACCGACUUACGUUGAAAAGUGAGCGGAUGAACUGAGGGUAGCGGAGAAAUUCCAAUCGAACCUGGAGAUAGCUGGUUCUCUCCGAAAUAGCUUUAGGGCUAGCCUCAAGUGAUGAUUAUUGGAGGUAGAGCACUGUUUGGACGAGGGGCCCCUCUCGGGUUACCGAAUUCAGACAAACUCCGAAUGCCAAUUAAUUUAACUUGGGAGUCAGAACAUGGGUGAUAAGGUCCGUGUUCGAAAGGGAAACAGCCCAGACCACCAGCUAAGGUCCCAAAAUAUAUGUUAAGUGGAAAAGGAUGUGGCGUUGCCCAGACAACUAGGAUGUUGGCUUAGAAGCAGCCAUCAUUUAAAGAGUGCGUAAUAGCUCACUAGUCGAGUGACACUGCGCCGAAAAUGUACCGGGGCUAAACAUAUUACCGAAGCUGUGGAUUGUCCUUUGGACAAUGGUAGGAGAGCGUUCUAAGGGCGUUGAAGCAUGAUCGUAAGGACAUGUGGAGCGCUUAGAAGUGAGAAUGCCGGUGUGAGUAGCGAAAGACGGGUGAGAAUCCCGUCCACCGAUUGACUAAGGUUUCCAGAGGAAGGCUCGUCCGCUCUGGGUUAGUCGGGUCCUAAGCUGAGGCCGACAGGCGUAGGCGAUGGAUAACAGGUUGAUAUUCCUGUACCACCUAUAAUCGUUUUAAUCGAUGGGGGGACGCAGUAGGAUAGGCGAAGCGUGCGAUUGGAUUGCACGUCUAAGCAGUAAGGCUGAGUAUUAGGCAAAUCCGGUACUCGUUAAGGCUGAGCUGUGAUGGGGAGAAGACAUUGAGUCUUCGAGUCGUUGAUUUCACACUGCCGAGAAAAGCCUCUAGAUAGAAAAUAGGUGCCCGUACCGCAAACCGACACAGGUAGUCAAGAUGAGAAUUCUAAGGUGAGCGAGCGAACUCUCGUUAAGGAACUCGGCAAAAUGACCCCGUAACUUCGGGAGAAGGGGUGCUCUUUAGGGUUAACGCCCAGAAGAGCCGCAGUGAAUAGGCCCAAGCGACUGUUUAUCAAAAACACAGGUCUCUGCUAAACCGUAAGGUGAUGUAUAGGGGCUGACGCCUGCCCGGUGCUGGAAGGUUAAGAGGAGUGGUUAGCUUCUGCGAAGCUACGAAUCGAAGCCCCAGUAAACGGCGGCCGUAACUAUAACGGUCCUAAGGUAGCGAAAUUCCUUGUCGGGUAAGUUCCGACCCGCACGAAAGGCGUAACGAUUUGGGCACUGUCUCAACGAGAGACUCGGUGAAAUCAUAGUACCUGUGAAGAUGCAGGUUACCCGCGACAGGACGGAAAGACCCCGUGGAGCUUUACUGUAGCCUGAUAUUGAAAUUCGGCACAGCUUGUACAGGAUAGGUAGGAGCCUUUGAAACGUGAGCGCUAGCUUACGUGGAGGCGCUGGUGGGAUACUACCCUAGCUGUGUUGGCUUUCUAACCCGCACCACUUAUCGUGGUGGGAGACAGUGUCAAGCGGGCAGUUUGACUGGGGCGGUCGCCUCCUAAAAGGUAACGGAGGCGCUCAAAGGUUCCCUCAGAAUGGUUGGAAAUCAUUCAUAGAGUGCAAAGGCAUAAGGGAGCUUGACUGCGAGACCUACAAGUCGAGCAGGGUCGAAAGACGGACUUAGUGAUCCGGUGGUUCCGCAUGGAAGGGCCAUCGCUCAACGGAUAAAAGCUACCCCGGGGAUAACAGGCUUAUCUCCCCCAAGAGUUCACAUCGACGGGGAGGUUUGGCACCUCGAUGUCGGCUCAUCGCAUCCUGGGGCUGUAGUCGGUCCCAAGGGUUGGGCUGUUCGCCCAUUAAAGCGGUACGCGAGCUGGGUUCAGAACGUCGUGAGACAGUUCGGUCCCUAUCCGUCGUGGGCGUAGGAAAUUUGAGAGGAGCUGUCCUUAGUACGAGAGGACCGGGAUGGACAUACCUCUGGUGUACCAGUUGUCGUGCCAACGGCAUAGCUGGGUAGCUAUGUGUGGACGGGAUAAGUGCUGAAAGCAUCUAAGCAUGAAGCCCCCCUCAAGAUGAGAUUUCACAAC
This 2820-nucleotide ribosomal RNA is filed under the name Staphylococcus aureus. RNAcentral's name for it is "bacterial LSU rRNA". It matches the Rfam family "Bacterial large subunit ribosomal RNA". Lineage: Bacteria; Bacillati; Bacillota; Bacilli; Caryophanales; Staphylococcaceae. The record is from RNAcentral.